RNAcentral lists this long non-coding RNA (564 nucleotides) under Nicotiana benthamiana. RNAcentral describes it as "long non-coding RNA (NBEN_LNC031738)". Lineage: Eukaryota; Viridiplantae; Streptophyta; Magnoliopsida; Solanales; Solanaceae. The record is from RNAcentral.
CUGAACUGGGCCACAAUACAGCCUUACACAAUAACCAUAAUAAACUGACAUCCACAGAGAAUUGUGAAUAGACAAACGCAGCUGAAUGGAGGUCAAUAGCAGACAAGUAAAGGGAGUAUGUAGCAAUUUUGUAGUAAAUGUCAACUAAAUUAAGAGAUGCAUGAAAAUUUUAAGCUCAGUAACUCAGGAAGAAAAACCACAGUAACUCUGUGUUUCUCAGUUUCUCUCAAUUACAUGACUUACCAGCUAUUCAAACUGGCAUUGAAUGGAAGCAAGACCCAAACUUGCUUUGAUUUUCACUGAUCAUGGUAAGAAGUAAGAUAGCCUACAGCAUUUUCAAAAAUCUAUGAUGUAUACAGUUAGAAGGGAAAAAUCUCAUGAACCUCUUUCACAGAGUGAGCUUUCUUGAAGGGUUUUGAUGAUGACAGUCGAUACCUUCUUUCCUGUAAGAAGGCAAAAGUAUCAAUAACGAAAAUAAAUAUAAGUCGACUAUUCUGACUUUCAUCAUGAAAUUUAAAAAAAAGAAAAAUAUUCGAUUAGUUGAGAUCUUAAUUCUAGAGUAAA